Humulus lupulus (European hop) is the source of this 951-nucleotide long non-coding RNA. RefSeq lists it as uncharacterized. NCBI's taxonomy places the organism in Eukaryota, Viridiplantae, Streptophyta, Magnoliopsida, Rosales, Cannabaceae. The transcript has 6 exons. The record is from RefSeq and is a predicted model, not a curated record.
CACUCUUAGGUUUCAAUGGCAAUACAAGAGAAAUUCAUCAAAGAUAUUUUACCAACCGACACAAAAUGGAAAGCUAAAGUGAUUGUUAUAGAGAAAUGAAUGUGGAAAACUGCUCGGUAUACUACCAAAAAAUACAUAAAUUUAAUUUUCUGUGAUUCACAGGGUACAAGAGUACAGGUAACGAUCUAUGAUAGGGAGAUCGAUACGUUUGAGAACAGACUGAUUUCAACAAAUAUUACAUAUCAAACAUACAAGUGAAAGAAAGCAAGGCACAAUACCGAGUCGUAGACAAUCAAUAUGAAUGAGUGAUUACUAGACAAACUUUGCUUGAAGAAGUUGAAGACAAGACAAUGCACACAAUAGCAUAUUACAAUUUCACUCAUUUUUCGUGAUUUGCCCCGCCAUAUGGAUCAAACGACAUCAAUUGAUCUUAUGGCAAUUGCAAUACUCCUCAAUCCCAAAAAACAAGUAUACAUCAGGAACAAUUUACAAGAAAUACAAGAAAUAAUACUUGUUAAUCAGGAGGAGAAGCCAAUAUUACUGACUUGUUGGGAUCAAUUUGCCACAGUUGACCGUGCUGCAAUUGAAGAUAUAAUCAGCACCAAACCUAUCAUUCUUGCAAUGCGUUUGAAACUUACAUUCUUCAAUGGUGCAAUAAAAAUGAGGCCUAUCUUGAGGACCUGAUCAAUCAAAAAUCACAUGUACAAUCAUCCUCUAUUAUCACUGAACCUCCACUAAAUCUUAUGACAACAAUAGAUACUGUUACACCAAUAUAGGAAAGAGCAUAUUCAGUUACAACAUCAGCUACAAUCAUAAAGCCAAAUCAAACACUAUGGUACAUGAUUUGUAAUAAAUGUAAAAAAUUCACAGGUGCUGAUGUAAAUCAACCUUUCACUUGUAAUAUUUGCUUGAAGAAAGAAUGCAUGGCUGAACCAAGGUUCAUUAUCUUUA